AAUAUUGCACAAUGGGCGAAAGCCUGAUGCAGCAACGCCGCGUGAGCGAUGAAGGCUUUCGAGUCGUAAAGCUCUGUCCUAAGGGAAGAUAAUGACGGUACCUUAGGAGGAAGCCCCGGCUAGCUACGUGCCAGCAGCCGCGGUAAUACGUAGGGGGCAAGCGUUAUCCGGAAUCAUUGGGCGUAAAGGGUGCGUAGGCGGCCCUAUGGGUCAGAGGUUAAAGGCUACGGCUCAACCGUAGUAAGCCUUUGAAACUGUAGGGCUUGAGUGCAGGAGAGGAGAGUGGAAUUCCUAGUGUAGCGGUGAAAUGCGUAGAUAUUAGGAGGAACACCAGUGGCGAAGGCGACUCUCUGGACUGCAACUGACGCUGAGGGACGAAAGCCAGGGGAGCAAACGGG
RNAcentral lists this ribosomal RNA (398 nucleotides) under uncultured bacterium. RNAcentral's name for it is "partial 16S ribosomal RNA". It matches the Rfam family "Bacterial small subunit ribosomal RNA", at positions 360 to 776 of the family's 1533-position model. The record is from RNAcentral.